RNAcentral lists this transfer RNA (72 nucleotides) under Camelus bactrianus (Bactrian camel). It matches the Rfam family "tRNA". Rfam says of the family: Transfer RNA (tRNA) molecules are approximately 80 nucleotides in length. Their secondary structure includes four short double-helical elements and three loops (D, anti-codon, and T loops). Further hydrogen bonds mediate the characteristic L-shaped molecular structure. tRNAs have two regions of fundamental functional importance: the anti-codon, which is responsible for specific mRNA codon recognition, and the 3' end, to which the tRNAs corresponding amino acid is attached (by aminoacyl-tRNA synthetases). tRNAs cope with the degeneracy of the genetic code in two manners: having more than one tRNA (with a specific anti-codon) for a particular amino acid; and 'wobble' base-pairing, i.e. permitting non-standard base-pairing at the 3rd anti-codon position. Lineage: Eukaryota; Metazoa; Chordata; Mammalia; Artiodactyla; Camelidae. The record is from Rfam by way of RNAcentral. RNAcentral also lists the same sequence under 2 other names.
GAGGGUAUAGCUCAGCGGUAGCGCGCAUGCUUAGCAUUCGUGAGGUCCUGGGUUCAAUCCCCAGCACCUCCA